Molecule: ribosomal RNA, 496 nt
Filed under: uncultured bacterium
Lineage: Bacteria
Description: partial 16S ribosomal RNA
Rfam family: Bacterial small subunit ribosomal RNA
Source: RNAcentral
GAUGAACGCUGGCGGCGUGCCUAAUACAUGCAAGUCGAGCGAACAGACGAGGAGCUUGCUCCUCUGACGUUAGCGGCGGACGGGUGAGUAACACGUGGAUAACCUACCUAUAAGACUGGGAUAACUUCGGGAAACCGGAGCUAAUACCGGAUAAUAUAUUGAACCGCAUGGUUCAAUAGUGAAAGACGGUUUUGCUGUCACUUAUAGAUGGAUCCGCGCCGCAUUAGCUAGUUGGUAAGGUAACGGCUUACCAAGGCAACGAUGCGUAGCCGACCUGAGAGGGUGGCCGGCACAUCAGAAACAGGAACCCGGCCCAGACCCUAAGGGGAGGAGGAAUAAGGCAACUUCCGCAAUGGGCGAAAGCCUGACGGAGCAACGCCGCGUGAGUGAUGAAGGUCUUCGGAUCGUAAAACUCUGUUAUUAGGGAAGAACAAAUGUGUAAGUAACUAUGCACGUCUUGACGGUACCUAAUCAGAAAGCCACGGCUAACUACGUG